UGGGGAAUUUUGGACAAUGGGGGAAACCCUGAUCCAGCCAUCCCGCGUGUGCGAUGAAGGCCUUCGGGUUGUAAAGCACUUUUGGCAGGAAAGAAACGUCGUGGGUUAAUACCCCGCGAAACUGACGGUACCUGCAGAAUAAGCACCGGCUAACUACGUGCCAGCAGCCGCGGUAAUACGUAGGGUGCAAGCGUUAAUCGGAAUUACUGGGCGUAAAGCGUGCGCAGGCGGUUCGGAAAGAAAGAUGUGAAAUCCCAGAGCUUAACUUUGGAACUGCAUUUUUUAACUACCGGGCUAGAGUGUGUCAGAGGGAGGUGGAAUUCCGCGUGUAGCAGUGAAAUGCGUAGAUAUGCGGAGGAACACCGAUGGCGAAGGCAGCCUCCUGGGAUAACACUGACGCUCAUGCACGAAAGCGUGGGGAGCAAACAGGAUUAGAUACCCUGGUAGUCCACGCCCUAAACGAUGUCAACUAGCUGUUGGGGUCUUCGGACCUUGGUAGCGCAGCUAACGCGUGAAGUUGACCGCCUGGGGAGUACGGUCG
Molecule: ribosomal RNA, 541 nt
Filed under: uncultured bacterium
Lineage: Bacteria
Description: partial 16S ribosomal RNA
Rfam family: Bacterial small subunit ribosomal RNA
Source: RNAcentral